This is a non-coding RNA of Acanthosepion pharaonis, 110 nucleotides long. The record is from the annotation of a GenBank genome assembly. NCBI's taxonomy places the organism in Eukaryota, Metazoa, Mollusca, Cephalopoda, Sepiida, Sepiidae.
UAGCCAUAUCAUGUUGGAAUACCAGUUCUCAUACAAUCACUGGAGUUAAGCAAUGUUGAGCCUGGUCAGUAUUUUGAUGGGUGACUGCUUGGGAGUACCAGGUGCUGUAA